CUUGCGCGCCCCGGGUGACUACUGUAAUGAUUCCGUAGGUGAACCUGCGGAAGGAUCAUUACAGUAGUCACCCGGGGCGCCGCAAGGCCUCCCGGGUAACCUACCACCCUUUGUUUAUUACACUUUGUUGCUUUGGCAGGCCUGCCCUCGGGCUGCUGGCUCCGGCCGGCGAGCGCUUGCCAGAGGACCUAAACUCUGUUUGUCUAUACUGUCUGAGUACUAUAUAAUAGUUAAAACUUUCAACAACGGAUCUCUUGGUUCUGGCAUCGAUGAAGAACGCAGCGAAAUGCGAUAAGUAAUGUGAAUUGCAGAAUUCAGUGAAUCAUCGAAUCUUUGAACGCACAUUGCGCCCCCUGGUAUUCCGGGGGGCAUGCCUGUCCGAGCGUCAUUACAACCCUCAAGCUCAGCUUGGUGUUGGGCCCCGCCGCCCCGGCGGGCCCUAAAGUCAGUGGCGGUGCCGUCCGGCUCCGAGCGUAGUAAUUCUUCUCGCUCUGGAGGUCCGGUCGUGUGCUUGCCAUCAACCCCCAAUUUUUUUCAGGUUGACCUCGGAUCAGGUAGGGAUACCCGCUGAACUUAAGCAUAUCAAUAAGCGGAGGA
This 597-nucleotide ribosomal RNA is filed under the name Onygenales sp. FMCC-3. RNAcentral describes it as "eukaryotic LSU rRNA". The stretch from base 235 to 388 matches the Rfam family "5.8S ribosomal RNA". Lineage: Eukaryota; Fungi; Ascomycota; Eurotiomycetes; Onygenales. The record is from RNAcentral.